This 1285-nucleotide long non-coding RNA is filed under the name Manacus vitellinus (golden-collared manakin). RNAcentral describes it as "lncRNA (ENSMVIG00005000809.1)". Lineage: Eukaryota; Metazoa; Chordata; Aves; Passeriformes; Pipridae. The record is from RNAcentral.
AAGUAUAAAACUGUGCCACUGUCUUCACUUUACAAAGGAAACCCUUUCUGAAUAAUUUGCCAUGUCUCUGAAAAUGUUUCAAAUUUUGGUGUCUGCUCUGCUGUUUACAGCUUCUGUUUCAGGUGUCCUUGGAGCACCUUUUCUGGCAGAAGAAUCAGCAAAUCAAUUCAUACGACUUAAACGACACAUACCGUAUUCUCAGAGCUCCUGGGACCCAAGCAGUAGCCAGAAUUCAUGGGCAUACACUGUGGCUGAACAGAUUAGUGAAUCAUGGGCAGCUUUGAGAGACACAGCACAGUACUACAUGGACUUGAACCCUCUUGCCUUCAAUCCUUCGAUAUCCAAGUACGAUGGGGUUUCUCAACAGAGCAUUUCAUAGGCUUGGAGUGUGUGUGUGUACCUAAUGACAACAUCCUAUCUUAUGUGGACCUGCUGCAGCAGUCUGGGACUCACCUCCACCAACAGACAAGGACAAGCUAUUAAAUCCUACAUGUCUUGUAUCUGGCCAUGUUAGGAUAUGGCAUGUUAUGUAUUUGCCAUUAUGUAUUUGAUAAGACAACUUUAUCUCACCCAAUUGUCUAAACCCAAAAUUAAUACACUAAUUCUCUGCAUAAAUACUACAUAUUUUAUAUUCAUAAGUAGAACUAAGAUCUAACUCAUGGUAAAUUGAAUAAGAAGUUUAACAAAAACAAUAAUGAACUUUUAACAGAUUGAGCUUAAAAAAAUACAGUGUUUUCAGGUAAAACAUUUUUUUUGACUAAACAGUUGUUCUGAAAUGUACAUUCCUGCUUCUGUGACUGAAAACCACAUAUUUAUUUCUCAAUAUUUCCUUUAGCUACAUUUCUGAGAGGCAAGUAAGAAAUGAAAAUCAGUCAUUUUGGGUGGGUAAGAGAUGUAGAGCACGUGUGCUUCAUGUACAGUUCUGUACUUCAGGUGCAUUUCUGUUUUUUCAAGUACUGGGGUCAAAUUAAUAGUAGGAAGUGUAGUAUACAUCCAUUCACGUCCAUGCUCUGCUUUCCUUAUUUAAACUUCUGUACUUGGUCUUGAAUUCCCAAACCAGCUGAAUCCACAGCUACUACUGUGAGCUGGUUUUUUUUUUCUUACUCCUUGGAGUUGGGAAUUCAUGGAAACAUUCACUACUCCUUUUCUAAAAAAAAUGGUGAUGACAAAUGUUAUUUCUGCCAAGUUCUUGAGUUUGGAAUUUUCCUGGCUCCUAUUAAUUAUUGUACCUUAUUUAAGAACAUCUUUGAAUAAAGGAUUGGGCUGCCAUAUUUCUUUUGUGUGU